This 626-nucleotide ribosomal RNA is filed under the name uncultured archaeon. Its description in RNAcentral is "bacterial SSU rRNA". It matches the Rfam family "Archaeal small subunit ribosomal RNA", at positions 289 to 919 of the family's 1478-position model. The record is from RNAcentral.
CCCGGAGAUGGGUACUGAGACACGGACCCAGGCCCUAUGGGGCGCAGCAGGCGAGAAACCUUUGCAAUGUGCGAAAGCACGACAAGGUUAAUCCGAGUGUCUCCUGCUAAAGGAGUCUUUUGUCAGUUGUAGAAUCACUGGUGAAUAAGGGGUGGGCAAGUUCUGGUGUCAGCCGCCGCGGUAAAACCAGCACCUCGAGUGGUCAGGAGGUUUAUUGGGCCUAAAGCAUCCGUAGCCGGUUGCAUAAGUUUUCGGUUAAAUCUAUGCGCUUAACGUAUAGGCCGCCGAAAAUACUGUGCAGCUAGGGAGUGGGAGAGGUACACGGUACUCGAUAGGAAGGGGUAAAAUCCUUUGAUCUAUUGAAGACCACCUGUGGCGAAGGCGGUGUACCAGAACACGUUCGACGGUGAGGGAUGAAAGCUGGGGGAGCAAACCGGAUUAGAUACCCGGGUAGUCCCAGCUGUAAACGAUGCAGACUCGGUGAUGCAUUGGCUUGUGGCCAAUGCAGUGCCGCAGGGAAGCCGUUAAGUCUGCCGCCUGGGAAGUACGUACGCAAGUAUGAACUUAAAGGAAUUGGCGGGGGAGCACCACAAGGGUGAAGCCUGCGUUCAAUUGGAGUCAACGCC